Cyprinus carpio (common carp) is the source of this 1274-nucleotide long non-coding RNA. The record is from Ensembl. Lineage: Eukaryota; Metazoa; Chordata; Actinopteri; Cypriniformes; Cyprinidae.
AUAAAAUCAUUUGUUUAAAAUUGCUCUAGUACUAUUAGCCCGUUCUCAAUGGGCAGUAACUGUAAGCAAGGCAUACAUGCUUGCUGACAUAUCUGUAUUUUAUUUUAUUUUUUUCUUCAAAUCAUUCAGUCGCCUUUCAGGUCUGUGCAUCUAGAUAACGACCCAAGUGCGCGUGAAACGUAAGGAGUGUAUCGCGUGGCUGAGGCACUUGACCCUUCUCUCUGGUAUACAAUAUCUAACUGGUUAUCGGCUUAUCAAGGUUCAUAAUUAAUGAAUAGAAACAAAAGUUAUGUUUUGUUGACCUGCAGCGAUAGCAACCGGAUUGAAUCUAGUUUACACUCGUGCGAUUAAAUAACAGGCACAAGCAGCGGGGCACUAAUGAGAUAACCUAGUUAACUACACCACUGUUUUCACUUCAGCUUAACACUAUUUGUUUUUGGAUGUUUAUCUUACGCCUAGCAUGCAAUCGGUCGUAAAUAAACAAAUGUGUUUCUCUAAGGAAAGAUUUGAGGUGUGUGGCCCUUUCAUUCAAAGAUUAACUAACAAUUAGUCUAUAGUGUUAAAAAAAAAAAAAAAAAAAAAUUCCAAACGUGCAUUAACCUCCACUUUACAUUUCACUUAUUAUAUUCUUCUGGUUAUGUCAUUUGGAACAUUUACAUGAUUUCAUUAAUUAUAUUUGACUUAAAGAUAAAAUAAAGUCGUAAAGAUUAUUAAACGCAAUAUUGUUGCAUUAUUAUUUUAGCCUAGUAGCCUAGAUGUCACAACUUUUUACAGUAUUCAGCAAUGAAACGGAAAACGAAAUUGUUGCAUUGGUGAGUCAUCCCUCAAUCUAAAGCAGUUUUUAUUUAUUUUUUCUUCUUUCUGUUUGUAGGAGCGGUUGCAGUGAUUUUGUGCAAGAUCAAGCAGCAGACGUGCCGGCUUCAGCUGCUGCGUGUGUUGGUUUCUCUGCGGAGAGAGGAAACCAGACCACAGAGGCUGAGGAUGAGGCCCCGGGGAGGAGGCCCCUGUCUUGAAGUUAGGAGCUUUCUGUGGGGAAGAGGAGUCGCAGAGGUACGAGCUCGUAAUUGAGAUGUGAAAAGAGUCUGUCACUGUUUAGGUUGUACGACAUCAGUGGAAACGUCUGGCCGAUAACCAAUAGAGAGGAAAAAAUUCUUAAAUGAGAUCCCAAUUGUUUCUCCUUGACACCAGUGAGAUUUAAUGGAGAGCAAAAUUAAGUCUUCUGCCUCUCCGGUUUUUCUCCUGAGAAAAAAAAAGUUUUUUUCCCCCCUCAUCUG